GGAAAAUAAAACUGCAUCUUUUGGUAAUAAAAGGAUGAAGCAGAAAAACAACUACAAAGUACGUUAUAAAAAUAAUUUAAUUAUUUUAAACAUUUUUUUUAUGUGAGGAGGAGGAGGAGGAGGAGGAUAUGCCCGUGGGCCCGCCUUACACAGUUACAUUUAGCUGAUGUUUCACCACGGAGGAUGGGAAUAUGAGCUCACCAUCAGGACCACUCCGAUCAUUGAUUCCCAUAUAUAGCACAUGCAUUCACCCUGUCUCUGCGUCGAGAUCUAGAGCUUCAACCUUAAGAUUUUCAGCUUGACAAUGGCGUCAACUGCUUCCUCUCCUAACCUUUCUAUCCGCAAAACCUUCAUCACCACACAGCAAACACCCACUUUCAAAACCGCCUUUCCCAUCUUCACUAUUAACCAAACGCCAAACACUCACCGCUCUCUCUGCAUCACUACUGCCUCUCUUUCCGACCCUAAGCCCAAGCCCACCACCACUGCCGCCGCUUCUGCCGCCACUGCUACCUUUACCACCGCUCCUAUAACAACAACAACAACAACAACGACAACCCCAACCCCCCAUGAGACCUUUAUUCCCACUAUUGCUCCUCAGUGGCCCAGAAAGGGCUCUGAUGUCCUCAUUGAAGCCUUGGAACGUGAGGGCGUAACUCACGUCUUUGGAUACCCAGGAGGGGCUUCCAUGGAGAUUCAUCAAGCUCUCACCCGCUCCAAUGUAAUCCGUAAUAUUCUACCAAGACAUGAGCAAGGUGGAAUCUUUGCUGCUGAGGGCUACGCCAAAGCUUCUGGGCGCGUUGGAGUUUGCAUUGCCACCUCCGGCCCUGGUGCCACUAACUUCGUCAGUGGACUUGCCGAUGCACUGCUCGAUAGUGUCCCGCUCGUUGCCAUUACUGGACAAGUUCCUCGUCGCAUGAUAGGCACUGAUGCAUUUCAAGAAACACCGAUCAUUGAAGUAACAAGAUCCAUAACUAAGCACAAUUUUAUGGUUCUUGAUGCUGAGGACAUUCCUCGCAUUGUCAAAGAAGCUUUUUAUCUUGCUUCUUCUGGCAGGCCUGGGCCAGUUCUUAUUGAUAUACCAAAGGAUGUCCAGCAACAGCUUAUUAUUCCAAACUGGGACAUGCCUAUGAGGCUUCCUGGGUAUACAUCAAGACUGCCUAAAAGCCCAGAAAUUGGAAAAUUGGAGCAGAUUGCUAGGCUGAUCUUUCAGUCCAAGAAACCGGUACUGUAUGUUGGUGGUGGAUCUUUGAACUGUAGUGAGGAGCUAAGGCGAUUUGUUGAGCUUACCAAGAUACCAGUGGCGAGUACUCUAAUGGGUCUCGGCAGUUUCCCCUUAGGCGACGAGCUGUCGCUACACAUGCUGGGAAUGCAUGGGACUAUGUAUGCAAAUUAUGCAAUAGAUCAAUCGGAUUUGCUGCUCGCGUUUGGAGUUAGAUUUGAUGAUCGCGUGACGGGUAAAGUCGAGGCUUUUGCUAGCAGAGCAAGCAUAGUUCACAUUGACAUUGAUUCAGCUGAAUUGGGGAAGAACAAGCAGCCUCACGUUUCACUCUGUUCUGAUUUGAAGAUUGCUUUGAAAGGGUUGAAUAGGUUGCUGGAGAAGAAGGGAGCCAAGUCUAUGCUUGAUUUCUCUGCUUGGAGAAAGGAAAUUAAUGAACAGAAAGCAAAAUAUCCGUUAAGCUAUAAAAAUUUUGGCGAAGCAAUUCCUCCGCAGUAUGCAAUUCAAGUUCUGGACGAAUUAACUAAUGGCAAUGCUGUUAUUAGCACUGGUGUUGGGCAGCACCAAAUGUGGUCUGCCCAAUUUUACAAGUACAAAAGGCCUCGUCAGUGGCUAACAUCUGGUGGUCUAGGUGCUAUGGGGUUUGGCUUGCCUGCUGCUAUGGGUGCUGCCCUUGCAAGACCAAAUGCUCUGGUGGUAGACGUCGAUGGGGAUGGAAGUUUCAUCAUGAAUGUCCAAGAAUUGGCGACGAUAAGAACAGAGAACCUGCCUGUGAAGAUCAUGCUAUUGAACAAUCAACAUUUGGGUAUGGUUGUUCAAUGGGAAGAUAGAUUCUAUCAUUCCAACAGGGCACAUACAUAUCUAGGGAACCCAUCAAAAGAAGAGAUUUUCCCGAACAUGUUGAAGUUUGCUGAGGCAUGCGAUAUUCCUGCUGCGAGAGUCACAAAGAAAAGUAAGCUUAAGGAGGCUAUCAAGAAAAUGUUGGAGACUCCAGGGCCUUAUUUGCUUGAUGUGAUUGUACCGCAUCAAGAACAUGUCCUGCCAAUGAUCCCAAGUGGUCUUUCUUUCAAGGAUGCUAUUACUGAAGGUGAUGGGAAAGCACAGAAUUGAUCAUUUUUGUGCUUGUAAAAGAAAUGUAUAGGUUAAAUAAUUUGCUUUGUUAUCAUUAAAUAAUACAUUGCUUUGUUACAAAAUAAGUGAUUGUUAAGAAAAAAAAAUCGAAUUGUGAUAAACUGAAACUGGUCAAAUAUUACUGUGAAAUUCUAAUCUGCGGCCUGGAAGUCAAGAACAAGAAACAUGUCAAAUCUAUGCGAAAUUGGAAAUGAAUGGAGACCACAAAAAUUCUUUUUUCUUGAAAGAUUGCAAGAAAAAUCAAGCCUGCCAAUGCUGGCCCCCUUCCCAUCUGCUUUGGUUUGCUGCAAAACGAUGUGCACCUCUAAGUUCCACUUUUGCCUGAUUUUUGUUGUGAGAUGGGCCACACGAUUCAAUCAUGGUCCCGUAUCAUUUAAUUAGAGUAAAUCGUAACAGUGAGAAAGAAAUCAUCUCUUCCCAUUUUGACAAAUCAAUAAUUCACGCAAACACGGGUCAGAGUUGAAGUUUUAUUUUAUUUUCACGACAAAUACAAUAAAAUUAUUUCAAAUAGAUAUGAGCAUCAUUGCUCAAAAUGUGAGAUUGUUUUGAUUUUGAAAAUUGUAGUGGAGUUGAGUGAUGAAGAAUAGUA
Molecule: unclassified non-coding RNA, 2939 nt
Filed under: Hevea brasiliensis (rubber tree)
Lineage: Eukaryota; Viridiplantae; Streptophyta; Magnoliopsida; Malpighiales; Euphorbiaceae
Source: RNAcentral